Pongo abelii (Sumatran orangutan) is the source of this 103-nucleotide small nuclear RNA. Lineage: Eukaryota; Metazoa; Chordata; Mammalia; Primates; Hominidae. The record is from Ensembl.
GUGCUCACUUCAGCAACACAUAUACUAAAAUUGGAAUGAUACAGAGAAGAUUAGCAUGGCCCCUGUGCAAGGACAACAAAUUCGUGAAGCAUUCCAUAUUAUA